Molecule: ribosomal RNA, 259 nt
Filed under: uncultured prokaryote
Description: partial 16S ribosomal RNA
Rfam family: Bacterial small subunit ribosomal RNA
Source: RNAcentral
UACGUAGGUGGCAAGCGUUAUCCGGAUUUAUUGGGUUUAAAGGGUGCGUAGGCGGGCUAUUAAGUCAGUGGUGAAAUCCUGCAGCUUAACUGCAGAACUGCCGUUGAUACUGAUAGUCUUGAGUUUGGUUAAGGUAGGCGGAAUGUGUAAUGUAGCGGUGAAAUGCUUAGAUAUUACACAGAACACCAAUUGCGUAGGCAGCUUACUGAGCCGACACUGACGCUGAGGCACGAAAGCGUGGGGAUCAAACAGGAUUAGA